Molecule: ribosomal RNA, 253 nt
Filed under: uncultured bacterium
Lineage: Bacteria
Description: partial 16S ribosomal RNA
Rfam family: Bacterial small subunit ribosomal RNA
Source: RNAcentral
UACGGGGGGGGCAAGCGUUGUUCGGAAUUACUGGGCGUAAAGGGCGCGUAGGCGGCCCUCUAAGUCGAACGUGAAAUCCCCGGGCUCAACCCGGGAACUGCGUCCGAUACUGGAGGGCUCGAAUCCGGGAGAGGGAUGUGGAAUUCCAGGUGUAGCGGUGAAAUGCGUAGAUAUCUGGAGGAACAUCGGUGGCGAAGGCGGCAUCCUGGACCGGUAUUGACGCUGAGGCGCGAAAGCCAGGGGAGCAAACGGG